Orussus abietinus is the source of this 1844-nucleotide long non-coding RNA. RefSeq lists it as uncharacterized. NCBI's taxonomy places the organism in Eukaryota, Metazoa, Arthropoda, Insecta, Hymenoptera, Orussidae. The transcript has 4 exons. The record is from RefSeq and is a predicted model, not a curated record.
GUACGCAUCGAGAGAGGGGAUUCCAUUACGUGAGUUGUUGGUAAUUCUUCAACCAGAUAGUACAUUGCACCGCGAUAACGGUGUCGAGGAGUUGUCUCCUACGAACACUAACAGCACACCUCUAUUUUUGGACACCGUUAUGCUUGCACAGAUGCAGCGCACAACACGCCACGUGCCGUGUCGGUCCACAUUCUAUCUCUAAUGUACAUACGUGUUCAUAUUUAGAUCUUUUUAUUAACGAAAAGAAAGCAUUUUCCUGCAUGUCAAGUACAGAUGAUCAUACCUAAACUUUCACGGCGUUUCUUUUCAAUGAUUGACAACACUACAUUUUCUUCUUAAUAAUUGUUUAGUAAUUCUUGCGACACUUUAUAAGUACUACACUUGGUCAGUGGUGUAAAGAAAAUACUCAGCUCGUCGAAAAAUCGCAUCACUUGAAACUAAAAAUCAUGAAAAUUGGAAACUAACGUAAAGUUUGGAAUAACGUAAAAAGGAUUGUGAUUCAAAUCUGCUUUCAAAAAAAUACACGUAACGAGAUAUGGUCAUAGCCUCUUUUCAUUAUGCUAAACAGUACAUUGUAGUCAUCAGAUAUGCACAAUUUUGAUGUUAGAUAUUUCAGAUAGGAUUGUUGGAUAGAAUAGAUUUCUUUUAAACGAGCAAGAUAAAACUUUAACAUUUCAAUCAGCGCCAUGCUAAUCAGCGGUAACUUAAAUUGGCCUAUCGUAAACCACGUAAUGUCGCAUUUCAAAAGGCACGACUUUGCGACGACAACCUCUUUUCUGUUUCCCUCUAAACCUUACGACCAUACCAGAGGAUGAUUCAAGACCGAGGCACCAGGUAAUAGUACAAUAUUCCCCAUGAUUACCGACACAGUGUUACAUUUCCUUCGCAAUAAUUAUUGUGACAUUUCGUAGGAACUAUACCAUGACAGAUUCUAUUCAGCCAAGGCUAGUGGCACAGUCAAAACAAAGUUCAUCACCGUUUCAAUCAACGGCAUGUUCAUCAGCGGACAGACGGGUAUAAUCAUAAAACACGUAACGUAGCAUUCCAAAGGACACAACCCUGCGACGAUUAUUCCUCUUCCUUUUCUCUGGAGACUUUACGACCAGCCCAGGUGAUUCCAGCAGAGGAUGAUCCAAGAAGGGCACCACCGUCGGGGCAAUUUUGGCACGAUCACAGGCAACCGGUGGAAGUACCGUUUUGCACAUAAAUAAAGUGCCUCGGCACGGCAUUCGACAUUCUUGGGCAUCGUGCUCGGCGGGAAUAGGACAGGCAAUAGAACCGACGUUGGAUAGGCGCUAGGACUGGCGCUGGAUGGGCAAUGGAACCGGCAUGGGAUAGGCAGUAUAAUGGAGGAAUUGUCUGAAACAUCGAUUCAUAACAUUGGCUCUGACAACAAAGAGAACGAUGGUCAUAAAACGAGUGUCGGAUCAUAAACCAGAAAAUGCCGCUCCCCACAUCGUUGGCGGAUCCUUUAUUAAAAAGGACAUGCAUCAACUUUACGGAUAAUACUUCCUGCGUACAAAAGUAUCAACUUAACUUGAAUCCCCCGAAACGAGAGUCGAGUACGUACGCCGAUUCAUAACAUUGGCUCCGACAAGAAAGGGAACGAUCGUCAUAAGACGACUAUCGCCGACAUUUCAGAUCAUAAAAUGGAAGAUGCCGCACCCAGCGUCGUUCACGGAUUGCGGUAAACAUGGCAUACAUAUGCAUGUCGAAGAGUUUCAUGGGUCGCAUAUAUAGCGGCGGUGAUAUUAAGCGGUACUCACGGUUUUCCGGCAUGAAGGUUGCUGGAAAACGGACAGUGCGGGGAUUCCGGAGCGGAACGAAUAGUCGGAGUUCCCGGA